GAUGAACGCUGGCGGCGUGCCUAAUACAUGCCAGUCGAGCGAACAGACGAGGAGCUUGCUCCUCUGACGUUAGCGGCGGACGGGUGAGUAACACGUGGAUAACCUACCUAUAAGACUGGGAUAACUUCGGGAAACCGGAGCUAAUACCGGAUAAUAUAUUGAACCGCAUGGUUCAAUAGUGAAAGACGGUUUUGCUGUCACUUAUAGAUGGAUCCGCGCCGCAUUAGCUAGUUGGUAAGGUAACGGCUUACCAAGGCAAUGAUGCGUAGCCGACCUGAGAGGGUGAUCGGCCACACUGGAACUGAGACACGGUCCAGACUCCUACGGGAGGCAGCAGUAGGGAAUCUUCCGCAAUGGGCGAAAGCCUGACGGAGCAACGCCGCGUGAGUGAUGAAGGUCUUCGGAUCGUAAAACUCUGUUAUUAGGGAAGAACAAAUGUGUAAGUAACUAUGCACGUCUUGACGGUACCUAAUCAGAAAGCCACGGCUAACUACGU
Molecule: ribosomal RNA, 496 nt
Filed under: uncultured bacterium
Lineage: Bacteria
Description: partial 16S ribosomal RNA
Rfam family: Bacterial small subunit ribosomal RNA
Source: RNAcentral